Molecule: long non-coding RNA, 215 nt
Organism: Lagopus muta (rock ptarmigan)
Lineage: Eukaryota; Metazoa; Chordata; Aves; Galliformes; Phasianidae
Exons: 3
Source: RefSeq, a predicted model, not a curated record
GCUGAAAAUGCUGGAAUGGGGAAAAAUGGAGCAAAAUCUGGUGUCACGUAUUCCAGUUUGAUUGCUGAGGGGAACCACAGAGGAGCACCGCAGAAGACAGGCAAAUUUUACUGCUGUUUGACUGCACAUGGCAAAGGAGAAGAACAGCCCCAGCCACCUGUCCGAGAAUGAUUUUGUGCAAGGCUGAGUCCUCAUGAAGGCCAAAGGAAAGUUGG